UACGAAGGGGGCUAGCGUUGUUCGGAAUUACUGGGCGUAAAGCGUGCGCAGGCGGUUUUCCAAGUCAGGGGUGAAAGCCCAGAGCUCAACUCUGGAAUUGCCUUUGAAACUGUGAGACUCGAGUGCGGGAGAGGUGAGUGGAAUUCCCAGUGUAGAGGUGAAAUUCGUAGAUAUUGGGAAGAACACCGGUGGCGAAGGCGGCUCACUGGCCCGUUUCUGACGCUCAUGCACGACAGCGUGGGGAUCAAACAGG
This 253-nucleotide ribosomal RNA is filed under the name uncultured Rhizomicrobium sp. RNAcentral describes it as "partial 16S ribosomal RNA". It matches the Rfam family "Bacterial small subunit ribosomal RNA", at positions 524 to 776 of the family's 1533-position model. The record is from RNAcentral. Lineage: Bacteria; Pseudomonadati; Pseudomonadota; Alphaproteobacteria; Micropepsales; Micropepsaceae.